GCUCCCCGCGCCUCUGGCCUUGCCCACCGACCCGCCGAGCUCUCGGAGUCGCCUCGGCCUUUCUGAGGUCCGGGGCCGGCUUUUAAGCUGGUUGAUCGGCUUCGGACGCAACUCGUUCAGCUUCUGAGCAUCCGAGGCGGUGUUGCGUUUUCCAUCGGUCCCAGUUCCUGGGAACUUAGCCCUGCCUUAAUGUUUAAGCUCAAAACUGCUCCACAUCCGACCCACUGACUUCUGGAGUCUCAUCUCACUCCUCCUGGCCCCUAAUUUUCUGUUUCUCCCUUUCACUGGUCCGUUUACCCCUUUGCCCUCAGCCCCCUGGAAUCGCCUCCCCUUCGCUUCUGAAACCUUUCCCCACUCCGUCCACGUUUGGAAGUAGGAAGCUGCCCUCUGCGGACUCGUGAGCCACUUUUUCCAUGAACCUCCUCAUUCUAAGGACUACAUAGUUGUAUAUUUUAGUUGUAGGUCCUUCUGGUUGUGCUAUGUGGGGCAGUGCCUCAGCAUGGCCUGAUGAGCAGUGCCAUGUCCAUGCCCAGGAUCCAAACCAGUGAAGUCCCAGGCCACCAAAGUGGAGC
Molecule: long non-coding RNA, 572 nt
Filed under: Equus caballus (horse)
Lineage: Eukaryota; Metazoa; Chordata; Mammalia; Perissodactyla; Equidae
Description: lncRNA (ENSECAG00000058159.1)
Source: RNAcentral